RNAcentral lists this ribosomal RNA (497 nucleotides) under uncultured bacterium. RNAcentral describes it as "partial 16S ribosomal RNA". It matches the Rfam family "Bacterial small subunit ribosomal RNA", at positions 28 to 507 of the family's 1533-position model. The record is from RNAcentral.
GAUGAACGCUGGCGGCGUGCCUAAUACAUGCAAGUCGAGCGAACAGAUAAGGAGCUUGCUCCUUUGACGUUAGCGGCGGACGGGUGAGUAACACGUGGGUAACUUACCUAUAAGACUGGAAUAACUCCGGGAAACCGGGGCUAAUGCCGGAUAACAUGUUGAACCGCAUGGUUCUACAGUGAAAGGCGGCUUUGCUGUCACUUAUAGAUGGACCCGCGCCGUAUUAGCUAGUUGGUGAGGUAACGGCUCACCAAGGCAACGAUACGUAGCCGACCUGAGAGGGUGAUCGGCCACCCUGGAACUGAGACACGGUCCAGGCUCCUACGGGAGGCAGCAGUAGGGAAUCUUCCGCAAUGGGCGAGAGCCUGACGGAGCAACGCCGCGUGAGUGAUGACGGUCUUCGGAUCGUAAAGCUCUGUUAUUAGGGAAGAACAAAUGCGUAAGUAACUGUGCGCGUCUUGACGGUACCUAAUCAGAAAGCCACGGCUAACUACGUG